Syzygium oleosum is the source of this 864-nucleotide long non-coding RNA. RefSeq lists it as uncharacterized. Lineage: Eukaryota; Viridiplantae; Streptophyta; Magnoliopsida; Myrtales; Myrtaceae. The transcript is spliced from 2 exons. The record is from RefSeq and is a predicted model, not a curated record.
UCUCUUACAUAUUAUGUGAUUGGAUACAGUCCUGAGGUAGGCAGGUGAGUUUUAACAUGAGAGUUCUUCGUUAUACGACCUUACAUUACCUCGCCUUCAUAAACUUAUCUUACAUUUCAAUAUCAUCUAAUACUUUUACCAGCAUUUUACUCGUAAGUCCUGACUUCUAUUGCUUUACGCUUGUUCAUGCAGGUUCUUCUGCAAACUAAUAAUUUUGUUCUCUGCGCACUUGUCCUCAAUAUCCAUGUUCCGAUUUCUGGCCUCAAUCUUUCAAACCGCGGUUGCUUCCACCACAGCUGGUAGUUUUGCAAUUCUGAUAAUGAUGCUAUUUGGCACAUUGGCGGUUUCAUCAUCCCAAAAUCCUCUACUCCUGCUUUGUUGAAGUGGGGUUUCUGGGUCUCUCCACUAUCAUAUGGAGGAAUUGGACAUUCUGUUAAUGAUUUUGAUGCUCCACGAUGGAAAAAGGUGAUGGGCACUUAAUGGUUUGCUAACUUUGCAGUAUGAAGGUAUUGAUAAGGAAAUAACGGUAUUUGGAGAAACCAAAACCGUGGCGGCCUUCUUGAAGGAUUAUUUCGGAUUUCACCAUGAUCAAUGGUAUGUCCUUUCCUUUUGUUCUAGCGACUCUUUUUGCAUUCUGUAUAGGGCGCUUCAACUUCCAGAGAAGAUGACAUCAGACUUCUCUGUUAGUAUUACGGUGUAAACUCUAGUUGUACAAUCCUCAAAACUUAGCCAAAUAAAGUGAAUAGGUUUUUGUGACAAUGGAAUGGCCUCAUUCAAACAUUUAGUAUUCUGGAUUUAAAAGUGUCGAUGUUUUGGUAAGGCCAAUUUGUAAAAGCUUGGAUGAGGAUUCAUCGUUAGACAGUA